AUUGAACGCUGGCGGCAGGCUUAACACAUGCAAGUCGAGCGGGGGAAGGUAGCUUGCUACCGGACCUAGCGGCGGACGGGUGAGUAAUGCUUAGGAAUCUGCCUAUUAGUGGGGGACAACAUCUCGAAAGGGAUGCUAAUACAGCAUACGUCCUACGGGAGAAAGCAGGGGAUCUUCGGACCUUGCGCUAAUAGAUGAGCCUAAGUCGGAUUAGCUAGUUGGUGGGGUAAAGGCCUACCAAGGCGACGAUCUGUAGCGGGUCUGAGAGGAUGAUCCGCCACACUGGGACUGAGACACGGCCCAGACUCCUACGGGAGGCAGCGGUGGGGAAUAUUGGACAAUGGGGGGAACCCUGAUCCAGCCAUGCCGCGUGUGUGAAGAAGGCCUUAUGGUUGUAAAGCACUUUAAGCGAGGAGGAGGCUACUCUAGUUAAUACCUAGGGAUAGUGGACGUUACUCGCAGAAUAAGCACCGGCUAACUCUGUGCCAGCAGCCGCCGUAA
This 501-nucleotide ribosomal RNA is filed under the name uncultured bacterium. RNAcentral's name for it is "partial 16S ribosomal RNA". It matches the Rfam family "Bacterial small subunit ribosomal RNA", at positions 30 to 523 of the family's 1533-position model. The record is from RNAcentral.